RNAcentral lists this transfer RNA (52 nucleotides) under Fragariocoptes setiger. Its description in RNAcentral is "tRNA-Gly". Lineage: Eukaryota; Metazoa; Arthropoda; Arachnida; Trombidiformes; Phytoptidae. The record is from RNAcentral.
GAUGGGGAAGUAUGGUUGACGUACGUUUGUUUUCCAUACAAAAGGAUUUUAC